Molecule: unclassified non-coding RNA, 219 nt
Filed under: Staphylococcus aureus subsp. aureus MSSA476
Lineage: Bacteria; Bacillati; Bacillota; Bacilli; Caryophanales; Staphylococcaceae
Description: T-box leader as predicted by Rfam
Source: RNAcentral
AAAGGACAAGUAAUAUUAUUUGAAAUCAUCAGAGAGCUAGUGGUCGCUGUGAACUAGUGUUUUUAAUAAUAUGAAUACACCUUUAUAACUAACAUGUCCUACGUUUAUUAAUGAACGUAUCAUUAAUAGAGUGAACAUUAUCUUAUGAUUAUGUUUAAGUUUGGUGGUAACGUGCAAUCGCGCCCUUACAUAUUUGUUGUAAGGGUUUUUUUUACGUUC